CUCCUCGUCACUUGAAACGUCAUCAGUUUCAAGACGCUGCUAGCUAGUGCCAUUCUCUGUUCCUCGUCGUUCUCCGCUGCUCGUUCUCCAGUUCAUCUUCGCUCCAUUGCUCGCGUCGUUACUGCUUCUCCCUUCGCCAUCAAUUCUUCUACUCGUGCUUAUUCUUAUUCUGAUCCUCUGCUGCAACUUAUUUUUGUUGCUUGAGUUAUUUCAUAUUAUCAUCUAUCUUGGCAUUCUAUAGAUUUUUUUGUUCAUUUUCCAAGCCACGAAUUCCACUAAUUUGUUGUUGUUAUUAUAUUUCUUGCUUUCGUUUGCAAAAUAAAAUGAUAAAGCUAUAAACUUAUAAAUCACAAAUCUUGUUGUGCGACAAAAAAAAAAAAAAAAGGGCCUGCGGAGUAUGCUUCUCGGGAGGUCAUUUGUUGGCACUGGGAUGUGAUUUGGCCCUCCUAUUGCUGCUCUUUAUGUAACCGAGACAUAUGAGAUGAUAAAACAAGUAUUAUUUUUUACAUUAGGGAUCACAUUAUUUUCAUUUGUAGGUUUCACCUCCAGUAGUAAGGGGUAUUUUUGGGAGUUUAACUCCUAAUAGUAAGGCUUUUUGUCCUUUAUUGUUUUGGAUUGAUCAAGGCUACUUCUGUGGAGAGGAUAAUAAUUCUUUGACUUUUUUCAGAGAGGAGAACGUGCUAAAGUUGAAGUUGAAUUUGAGAAGCUGUAAUAUAACGGUCAAAGCAUAUGGCGCAUUGGCGUGUGGAUGUUAGAAUGUCUACUGGAGUUCUUAAUUCGAGACCAGAGGACAAAGCAUCCUUUGAUCUCAAGAAUACCAAUACUAGACUUGAAGACGCUAGGGGAGAAAAAAGAUUAGAUUCUGAGCUAUGGCGUGCAUGUGCUGGUCUUCUAUGUUUCUGCCACCUACUGCAAGUCGUGUGGUCUACUCCCAGGAUCACAGUGAACAGAUUAGUGAACAAUUUUCAUUUUAUUAGUUGGGUGCUAAGGGAAUGGGUUCUCUCCUGGUGAGAAUCCAUCCUGGUCCCUCCUGCUCUCACAAUGUGGGGGUGGAGGCAGGAGAGACCAGGAUGAACUCUCACCAGGAGAGAAUCCUUGUCCUCUAACAUGCUACUUUAAUUGUUUUUUCAAUGGAUGUUUAAUUAGAAAUUUUAUGCUUGUCCAAGAACACAAGAGGGCAUGGAGAUGAUAAAUAAGGUGUCAGAGAGUCACAAUGAAUAGGUCAAUCAUACUAUUUCCACCUGCAAACUAGAUUUUGGUACUCAAGAUUUCAACUCUUCUUUUUUUUCCCCUGUAAAUAUAUGGUAAGAGCUGUUAUGUGUGGGCAAGCACAUAUAUUAAUAUCAAGUUCAUGGGAUUUUUAUGUGGGCAUAAGAAAGAAUCACAGUGAACCUGCCACAAGAGUAAGAUUAUCAGUUGACUUAGCUUCGUUGAUAUAUGUGAGAGCUAUUAUUCUUAGCGGUGGGAGACCAUCUACAGAUGUGGAGCUGUAAUCUUUAGUUGGAUAAUUUAUAAGUGUAGAGGGAAUAAAAUUGAUUGAAAAAUGACCAUUAUUUCAUUAUAAUAGUAUAAUCAACUUUUGUAUGAUUAUCCUCUGUUAUUAUUACUUAUAUGUCAUGUUGUCUUAUAUGUUAUUGGACUUUGUAUGACAAUCAAGUUGCAUUUGUUUUCCAUGUUUUAUAUUAUUAUCUAGAUGGACAAAAACUGUGACGGUCAACCAUUUGCAUUAUCAAGGAUGCCUGGUAC
Long non-coding RNA from Prosopis cineraria, 1746 nucleotides. RefSeq lists it as uncharacterized. Lineage: Eukaryota; Viridiplantae; Streptophyta; Magnoliopsida; Fabales; Fabaceae. The transcript has 4 exons. The record is from RefSeq and is a predicted model, not a curated record.